Molecule: long non-coding RNA, 291 nt
Filed under: Lathyrus oleraceus (garden pea)
Lineage: Eukaryota; Viridiplantae; Streptophyta; Magnoliopsida; Fabales; Fabaceae
Description: Pisum sativum (pea) long non-coding RNA (PSAT_LNC006979)
Source: RNAcentral
UAAAUUUAUAAAUAUUACUUAAUUGUGUUUUGCUUGUUCCUUCCAUCAAACUGGAUAGAGUUUUCACUAUUCAACACUAACUUUUGAUGUAUAUAAGAAGUCUGAAUUAAUCUUGUUUUUUAUUAUGAAAUCCAAAAGCAAGGAUUGAUAUUUGAAUCAAAUUAUUUUUUUAAUCAUGCAUACAGAAACCGAGUUUCACUCAUUUAUCCUUUCAAAUCAUUUGUGUUCCUAUUAAAGCUUCUAUUUGUACUCUGUCAUUCUUUUGAAAGCUUCUGCCAUUGUAUACAAUUG